GUGUAUAUAAACGCAUUAUAUCUUUGGAUUGUGGUCGGCAGCGAACCAGAAAGGAACUAAAACGACUGAUCGAGAGGGAGGAGGAUGCUGAGGAGGAAGCCGAGCAGGAUCGAAGUGAAAGCGGAGGACAAAGCAGAGAUCGAAGAAGCCGUCCGCCAGCGAUCCUCCAAUCCCCGUCCCAACCCUAACCCUAACCCUAAUCCCCUCCACAAGUACCUCGACCCCUCCCCCCUCGACGCCGCCGCCAAGGCCCAGCGCAUCGGCCUCAACCAGCCUUAGCCCCGAUGGAGGUUGAGGUCAAACUCCGCCUCCCCGACGCGGGCGCCCACCAGCGACUCUCCGACGCCCUCGUUCCCCACCACCUCCGCACCCACCUCCAGGAGAACCUCUUCUUCGACGGCGCCGCCGGCGAGCUCUCCUCCCGCUUCGCCGUCCUCCGUAUCCGCUUCUACGACGCGGACUCCCGCUGCGUGAUCUCCCUCAAGGCCAAGGCCCGCCUGGCCGGCGGCGUCAGCCGCGUCGAGGAGGACGAGGAGGACAUCGACCCGGCCCUCGGCCGCGCCUGCGCCGCCGAGACGUGGCGGCUCGCCGACUUGGCCGGAUCCUCUCGGAUCAUGAGGAGGGUGGUCGAGGAGUUCGGGUCGGAGGGAAAGAUGGGAUCCUUCGUGUGCCUGGGGGGCUUCCGGAAUGUUAGGGCGGUCUACGGGUGGAAGGAGGGGUUGAUGCUCGAGCUUGAUGAGACGCAGUAUGAUUUCGGGACUAGUUACGAGCUAGAAUGUGAGACGAUCGACCCAGAGAGGACCAAGGAGUUGCUGGAGAGGUUCUUGAAGGAGAAUGGAGUACCGUACUCGUACUCUGAAGCAUCCAAGUUUGCAGUUUUCCGAGCAGGGAAGCUUCUACCCUGAGGAUACAAAUGGUUAAGGUGUCCAUUGGUCAGAAGACUGGAUAAAGAGCUGCAUGAUUAUAUCAUGACAUUGGACUUUCUUUUGCCAGGGUGUAGGCCUGAGGAUCAUUUCACAAGUUGCCACUACUACACAUAGUUGGAAGACGCAGAUAGCAGCACAUGGUGAAAGUGCUCCAUUUUAAGAAAAUUCACCGUCUGGUCGAUCUAGUUUCCCCGUCCUACAAUGCAAGAUGGUGGAAUAUGUCUGAUGGAUCAGCUUCUCCAUUUUAGAUGCAAGCAAGAUUAACUGAAUACUGCAUUUACUAUAUUGUUUGUUGCUUCUCGGAGUGUGUGAUUGUGUACAUGUUGGUAGCGUUUCGCCCCUUGAUAUCUAAUGAUCGGAUGCAGAUUAGUUGCAGUUUA
RNA transcript from Musa acuminata AAA Group (dessert banana), 1306 nucleotides. It is a transcript of the gene named triphosphate tunnel metalloenzyme 3-like, with no coding region annotated. The transcript has 3 exons. The record is from RefSeq and is a predicted model, not a curated record. Lineage: Eukaryota; Viridiplantae; Streptophyta; Magnoliopsida; Zingiberales; Musaceae.